RNAcentral lists this long non-coding RNA (655 nucleotides) under Takifugu rubripes (torafugu). RNAcentral describes it as "lncRNA (ENSTRUG00000027207.1)". Lineage: Eukaryota; Metazoa; Chordata; Actinopteri; Tetraodontiformes; Tetraodontidae. The record is from RNAcentral.
GCCCGUUAUCUGCCCCCCCGGCUAUGUCCCGUUAUUACCAGCAGAAACUGGGAAGAUGCUGAGCCCAACAUCAGGAGAUGCAGAGCUCCGAUUAACCGAAUCCCAAAGCAGAACGGAAUUUUGGCUUAAGAGCAAGGAGAGGAAAACCGUGGGAUCACGGAGCGCUGACAACAGCCGGCCCAGACACACCUGACAGGUUGCAGCGAUGAAUAUCUCAUCCACUGUGACCGCCACCAACGGAACUAAUUUGCUUAUGGAAAAUUGCAGAUCAUCAGUUUCCUGCAGGGAUAUAAGCACCUCUGCAGGCGCUGCUGAUUAAGGGCAGGCGAGAGUGCAAAUGGGCCUGAAUCUCCCCGCGGACCCAGAUGAAGUGUUAACGUUGGACAUGUCAUCCCUGAAGGAGCAUCAGAUAAAGGUGGAACGCUGUGAGCUUCAAGACUCGGAGCAGACGUCUCUCACAUGGACAUGCGAUCCGUCCAGGCUGUUUCUGGCCUCUCACAACAAACUCUACAAGGCUCUGCAGAUGAGUGAGGUGACUUUUAAAUCCAACACUUACGGAUUGUUGUCACAGAUCAACACAAUGGAUCCAGGGUUGACACAGAAUACACUCUGCAUUAUGUUGGAUUUUUCAUAAUAAAGCGCGACUUGUUUGUGC